Molecule: ribosomal RNA, 479 nt
Filed under: uncultured bacterium
Lineage: Bacteria
Description: SSU rRNA
Rfam family: Bacterial small subunit ribosomal RNA
Source: RNAcentral
AGGACGAACGCUGGCGGCGUGCCUAACACAUGCAAGUCGAACGAGGUCCAACCGGUGGCAACACUGGUGAAGACCUAGUGGCGAACGGGUGAGUAUCACGUGAGUAACCUGCCCCGAAGACUGGGAUAACACCGGGAAACCGGUGCUAAUACCGGAUGUCCCCACCGAAUCGCAUGGUUUGGUGAGGAAAUGGAUUCCGCUUUGGGAGGGACUCGCGGCCUAUCAGCUUGUUGGUGGUGUAACGGACCACCAAGGCUUCGACGGGUAGCUGGUCUGAGAGGACGAUCAGCCACACUGGGACUGAGACACGGCCCAGACUCCUACGGGAGGCAGCAGUAGGGAAUCUUGCGCAAUGGGCGAAAGCCUGACGCAGCAACGCCGCGUGGGGGAUGAAGGCCUUCGGGUUGUAACUCCUUUUAGUGGGAACGAAUUGACGGUACCACAGAAAACGCCCGGACUAACUACGUGCCAGCAGCCGC